This 1174-nucleotide ribosomal RNA is filed under the name Sugarcane phytoplasma (uncharacterized). Its description in RNAcentral is "bacterial SSU rRNA". It matches the Rfam family "Bacterial small subunit ribosomal RNA", at positions 179 to 1373 of the family's 1533-position model. Lineage: Bacteria; Bacillati; Mycoplasmatota; Mollicutes; Acholeplasmatales; Acholeplasmataceae. The record is from RNAcentral.
AGCUCUUUUAUUUUUAAGACCUUUUUCGGAAGGUAUGCUUAAAGAGGGGCUUGCGUCACAUUAGUUAGUUGGCAGGGUAAAGGCCUACCAAGACUAUGAUGUGUAGCUGGACUGAGAGGUUGAACAGCCACAUUGGGACUGAGACACGGCCCAAACUCCUACGGGAGGCAGCAGUAGGGAAUUUUCGGCAAUGGAGGAAACUCUGACCGAGCAACGCCGCGUGAACGAUGAAGUAUUUCGGUAUGUAAAGUUCUUUUAUUGAAGAAAAAAAAAUAGUGGAAAAACUUCUUGACGAUAUUCAAUGAAUAAGCCCCGGCAAACUAUGUGCCAGCAGGUAAUACAUAGGGGGCGAGCGUUAUCCGGAAUUAUUGGGCGUAAAGGGUGCGUAGGCGGUUUAAUAAGUCUAUAGUUUAAUUUCAGUGCUUAACACUGUCCUGCUAUAGAAACUAUUAGACUAGAGUGAGAUAGAGGCAAGUGGAAUUCCAUGUGUAGCGGUAAAAUGCGUAAAUAUAUGGAGGAACACCAGAGGCGUAGGCGGCUUGCUGGGUCUUUACUGACGCUGAGGCACGAAAGCGUGGGGAGCAAACAGGAUUAGAUACCCUGGUAGUCCACGCCGUAAACGAUGAGUACUAAGUGUCGGGAUUACUCGGUACUGAAGUUAACACAUUAAGUACUCCGCCUGAGUAGUACGUACGCAAGUAUGAAACUUANAGGAAUUGACGGGACUCCGCACAAGCGGGGGAUCAUGUUGUUUAAUUCGAAGAUACACAAAAAACCUUACCAGGUCUUGACAUACUCUGCAAAGCUAUAGCAAUAUAGUGGAGGUUAUCAGAGAUACAGGUGGUGCAUGGUUGUCGUCAGCUCGUGUCGUGAGAUGUUAGGUUAAGUCCUAAAACGAGCGCAACCCUUGUCAUUAGUUGCCAGCAUGUCAUGAUGGGCACUUUAAUGAGACUGCCAAUGAAAAAUUGGAGGAAGGUGAGGAUCACGUCAAAUCAUCAUGCCCCUUAUGAUCUGGGCUACAAACGUGAUACAAUGGCUGUUACAAAGAGUAGCUGAAACGCAAGUUUAUAGCCAAUCUCAUAAAAGCAGUCUCAGUUCGGAUUGAAGUCUGCAACUCGACUUCAUGAAGUGGAAUCGCUAGUAAUCGCGAAUCAGCAGCGCAGAAACCUAACUC